GAUGUGGAUAUACUCAGACAAUCAGGAUGUUGGCUCAGAAGCAGCCACUCAUUGAAAGAGUGCGUAAUAGCUCACUGUCUGAGCGUCUCUGCUCGGAUUAUUUUACGGGGCUUAGAUACUUACCUAAGCUUAGUCUGUGUACUUUGUACUCGUGUUUAGGGGAGCUUUGUGUAAUCGGAGAAACAGUAGCGUAAUCUGCUUUUGAGUUUACAGAAUUGAGAAUGCCGUAAUGAGUAGCUCGAAUUUGUUGAGAAUCCACAUGGUCGGAUACCUCAGGUUUUUGGAGGAAGGUUCGUCCGCUCCAAGUUAGGCGGGAGCUAAGGUCAGGCCGAAAGGCGUAGCCGAUGCACAGACGGUAGAGAUUCCGUCCCCACCGAAAGAUUUAAGCACAGGGACACUUUUUGAAGGUCGGAGCCAGGUGUUGGUUCUGGUAGUGAUCGAGGGAAAUAUAGUACCGAAGUCCGGCUGGAAGAGAGGCGAGAAAAGCUGUGUGUAUAUCUAAGGUGCCCGUACCGCAAACCGACACAGGUAGGUAGGAAGAAGAUUCUAAGGCCAACGGGAGAAGGGUUGUUAAGGAACUCGGCAAGUUGACCCCGUAACUUCGGAAUAAGGGGUGCUCACGAGAGUGAGCCGCAGAGAAUAGGCCCAGGCAACUGUUUACCAAAAACACAGGUUUGUGCUAAAUCGAAAGAUGACGUAUACGAGCUGACGCCUGCCCGGUGCUGGAAGGUUAAAAGGAGAUGUGCAAGCAUUGAAUUGAAGCCCCAGUGAACGGCGGCCGUAACUAUAACGGUCCUAAGGUAGCGAAAUUCCUUGUCAGGUAAGUUCUGACCCGCAUGAAAGGCGUAAUGAUCUGGGCACUGUCUCAACAGCCCGCCCGGCGAAAUUGUAGUACCGGUGAAGAUGCCGGUUACCCGCGACAAGACGGAAAGACCCCAUGGAGCUUUACUGUAGCCUGAUAUUGGGUUUCGGUGUUGCAUGCACAGGAUAGAUGGGACGCUAGGAAAGAAGCGCUUUGGCGUUUCUGGAGCGGACGUUGGGAUACCAUCCUUGCGACAUUGGAAUUCUAACCUGCGCCUCUGAAUCGAGGCGGGGGACAUUGUCAGGUGGGCAGUUUGACUGGGGCGGUCGCCUCCUAAAAAGUAGCGGAGGCGUUCAAAGGUUCGUUCGAUCUGGACGGAAACCAGAUGAUUGAGUGCAAACGCAUAAACGAGCCUGACUGCGAGACUGACGGGUCGAGCAGAGACGAAAGUCGGAGUUAGUGAUCCGGUGGUAUGUGAGUGGAAAUGCCAUCGCUCAACGGAUAAAAGUUACCCUGGGGAUAACAGGCUGAUCUCCCCCAAGAGUCCACAUCGACGGGGAGGUUUGGCACCUCGAUGUCGGCUCAUCGCAUCCUGGGGCUGAAUUCGGUCCCAAGGGUUUGGCUGUUCGCCAAUUAAAGCGGUACGCGAGCUGGGUUCAGAACGUCGUGAGACAGUUCGGUCCCUAUCUGUCGUGGGCGCAGGAUAUUUGAAA
Molecule: ribosomal RNA, 1515 nt
Filed under: human gut metagenome
Description: bacterial LSU rRNA
Rfam family: Bacterial large subunit ribosomal RNA
Source: RNAcentral